AAGUCGUAACAAGGUCUCCGUAGGUGAACCUGCGGAGGGAUCAUUAACACGUUUCCGAACGUUUAACUAUUUCACAUCAACCGCGUGAUAUAAUUGAAUCAAAUCAACCGACCUGGAAUCAAGAGAAUUCUAUCUAGAAUGCACGGAGUGAUGAGUGUGCAUGCGAGCAAUCGCAUGCAUACGGUGUAUCUAGAUUAGUAUUGCUUAUCUUACUGUAUGCGCAAGCACGCUCUGAGACUCUUUACAAGACCUCUUUUUAUCAGGCUUAUACUCGUCGUUCCCUUCAUCGCUGGAGCGCAAAACACCAUUUUCACCACUUAUAACCACUUGACUGAUAUGUUCUCAGCAUGGCGAAAGCCGCGUAUGAAACAACAAAUAAUCAAAUAUCUAAGCACAACUCUUAGCAACGGAUAUCUUGGUUCUC
Molecule: unclassified non-coding RNA, 424 nt
Filed under: fungal sp.
Lineage: Eukaryota; Fungi
Description: partial internal transcribed spacer region
Rfam family: Eukaryotic small subunit ribosomal RNA (bases 1-46)
Source: RNAcentral